UGGGGAAUAUUGCACAAUGGGCGCAAGCCUGAUGCAGCCACGCCGCGUGUGUGAAGAAGGCCUUCGGGUUGUAAAGCACUUUCAGCGAGGAGGAAGGGUUCAGUGUUAAUAGCACUGUUCAUUGACGUUACUCGCAGAAGAAGCACCGGCUAACUCCGUGCCAGCAGCCGCGGUAAUACGGAGGGUGCAAGCGUUAAUCGGAAUUACUGGGCGUAAAGCGCACGCAGGCGGUUUGUUAAGUCAGAUGUGAAAUCCCCGCGCUUAACGUGGGAACUGCA
RNAcentral lists this ribosomal RNA (278 nucleotides) under uncultured bacterium. Its description in RNAcentral is "partial 16S ribosomal RNA". It matches the Rfam family "Bacterial small subunit ribosomal RNA", at positions 355 to 625 of the family's 1533-position model. The record is from RNAcentral.